AGCUUAGACGUGAGCAGCCUCACUAACCGGAACGAUCGAUGGAUCCGCUGCUCCACCGGCUUCUUUAUGCCGAUACACACAUCCUGUCCCUCUGGGGGACGGCCUAGGUCCGGGUGGGAUUUUGCGGAAGUACCCGGAACUGUUUGCAAGGUUCCCGCAGCCCGGCAGCUGAGAGUUCCUUCGGCUCCGUGAGCGCCCGUUUCUCCUGCUGUUUCGGAGAGCGAGCGGCAGUGAUGGCUCCGGUGUCUGGUUCGCGCAGCCCAGAGCGGGAGGCCUCAGGCUUCGGGUGGGGAACGCCGCAGUUCGCUGAAGAGCCCCAAGCCCAGUAAAGCCACCCGCUCGCCGCGGGGCCGCCGCUCGCGCUCGCCUUCUUGCUCUCGGUCGGCAGACCGGAAUGGCCACAGCCAAGGCUCCCGAAACCAGUCCUGUCGCUCCCGCUCGCAGUCACGCUCUCGAGAGCGGCCCUCUGCGCCACCAGGCACCCCCUUCGCUUCUGUCUCCUCGUCCGCUUAUGGCCCCUCCGGGGCGACAAGGAAAGGGAGGAGAGCCUGCGGCGAAAGAGAUUUAGUGAGAGAGAGGAUUGGAGAAUUUGGAGCUCCUGAAGUAUAGCGACUUUCUCCAAAGAAUCCAGAACUUGACUCUGAUGAACAUACACCAGUAGAGGUUGAAAAGCCAAAGAAAAGUACCACUUCAUCUUCUACCUAAGAAG
Molecule: non-coding RNA, 709 nt
Organism: Manis javanica (Malayan pangolin)
Lineage: Eukaryota; Metazoa; Chordata; Mammalia; Pholidota; Manidae
Source: RefSeq, a predicted model, not a curated record